GGGCGCCGACGCCCGCGGCGGCGUGCCGGCGCUGCCGUCGCUGGCCUCGCUGCGGAUGGCCUGGUGACCGUCAUGUUCCGCUUCCCGGCGGCGCGCGCC
This 99-nucleotide transfer RNA is filed under the name Achromobacter insuavis. RNAcentral describes it as "tRNA-Gly". Lineage: Bacteria; Pseudomonadati; Pseudomonadota; Betaproteobacteria; Burkholderiales; Alcaligenaceae. RNAcentral also lists the same sequence under 2 other names. The record is from RNAcentral.